GCCCGGUUAGCUCAAUCGGUAGAGCGUGAGACUCUUAAUCUCAAGGUUGCGGGUAAGUUUGCCAUGCUACCUUAACUUAGCAUCUAACCGUUCUGACAUUGUCGCCUAGGUUCGACCCCCGCAUCGGGCU
This is a non-coding RNA of Hypoxylon crocopeplum, 130 nucleotides long. NCBI's taxonomy places the organism in Eukaryota, Fungi, Ascomycota, Sordariomycetes, Xylariales, Hypoxylaceae. The record is from the annotation of a GenBank genome assembly.